This 407-nucleotide ribosomal RNA is filed under the name bacterium enrichment culture clone ALO1_GLFRUDD03GG1KF. Its description in RNAcentral is "bacterial SSU rRNA". It matches the Rfam family "Bacterial small subunit ribosomal RNA", at positions 9 to 416 of the family's 1533-position model. The record is from RNAcentral.
GAGUUUGAUCAUGGCUCAGAUUGAACGCUGGCGGCAUGCCUUACACAUGCAAGUCGAACGGCAGCACGGGAGCUUGCUCCUGGUGGCGAGUGGCGAACGGGUGGGUAAUGCAUCGGAACGUAUCCUGGAGUGGGGGAUAACGUAGCGAAAGUUACGCUAAUACCGCAUAUUCUGUGAGCAGGAAAGCGGGGGACCUUCGGGCCUCGCGCUCUUGGAGCGGCCGAUGUCGGAUUAGCUAGUUGGUGAGGUAAAGGCUCACCAAGGCGACGAUCCGUAGCAGGUCUGAGAGGAUGAUCUGCCACACUGGAACUGAGACACGGUCCAGACUCCUACGGGAGGCAGCAGUGGGGAAUUUUGGACAAUGGGGGCAACCCUGAUCCAGCCAUGCCGCGUGAGUGAAGAAGGCC